GAUGAACGCUGGCGGCGUGCCUAAUACAUGCAAGUCGAGCGAACAGAUGAGGAGCUUGCUCCUCUGACGUUAGCGGCGGACGGGUGAGUAACACGUGGAUAACCUACCUAUAAGACUGGGAUAACUUCGGGAAACCGGAGCUAAUACCGGGUAAUAUAUUGAACCGCAUGGUUCAAUAGUGAAAGACGGUUUUGCUGUCACUUAUAGAUGGAUCCGCGCCGCAUUAGCUAGUUGGUAAGGUAACGGCUUACCAAGGCGACGAUGCGUAGCCGACCUGAGAGGGUGAUCGGCCACACUGGAACUGAGACACGGUCCAGACUCCUACGGGAGGCAGCAGUAGGGAAUCUUCCGCAAUGGGCGAAAGCCUGACGGAGCAACGCCGCGUGAGUGAUGAAGGUCUUCGGAUCGUAAAACUCUGUUAUUAGGGAAGAACAAAUGUGUAAGUAACUAUGCACGUCUUGACGGUACCUAAUCAGAAAGCCACGGCUAACUACGUG
Molecule: ribosomal RNA, 497 nt
Filed under: uncultured bacterium
Lineage: Bacteria
Description: partial 16S ribosomal RNA
Rfam family: Bacterial small subunit ribosomal RNA
Source: RNAcentral